UUUAUGUCGAGCUCCAGUAUAUAAAACCUACAGAACUGGAAAAAGCUAUUAUUCAUACAUAAGAAUUGUUUGUAUCCAGUUGUCUCCUACAUCUGACAUAUCAAACUCUACAGAAGAACAAUGUCUGGAGUAAAAGGACAACAGAAGAAAUGCCCAGAGCCUUGCCCACCACCCCAGCAGGACUGCCAGGAUCAGUGCGAGCCAGUGCAGGUGUGCCCUGAACCGAAAUGUCCUCCUCAAGUGGUACAAUGUCCACCACCACAAUGUCAGAACCAA
Bufo bufo (common toad) is the source of this 276-nucleotide long non-coding RNA. RefSeq lists it as uncharacterized. NCBI's taxonomy places the organism in Eukaryota, Metazoa, Chordata, Amphibia, Anura, Bufonidae. The transcript is spliced from 3 exons. The record is from RefSeq and is a predicted model, not a curated record.